AAUCGGCGUAAAGAGUGGUUAGAAACAUAAGUAAACUAAAGCCGAACGCUCUCUUAACUGUUAUACGUUCUCGAGAGUAAGAAGCCCUUCUACGAAAGUGGCUUUAAUAACAUUGACCCCACGAAAGCAAUGGCACAAACUGGGAUUAGAUACCCCACUAUGCAUAGCCGUAAACUUUGGCAGCAUUUUACACAGCUGCCCGCCAGGAACUACAAGCAUCAGCUUCAAACCCAAAGGACUUGGCGGUGCUUAAGAUCCCCCUAGAGGAGCCUGUUCUAGAACCGAUACCCCCCGUUUAACCUCACCCUCCUUGUUUUUAGCCGCCUAUAUACCGCCGUCGUCAGCUUACCCUGUGAAGGCCUUUAUAGUAAGCAAAAUUAGCA
RNAcentral lists this ribosomal RNA (383 nucleotides) under Clinitrachus argentatus (cline). Its description in RNAcentral is "partial 12S ribosomal RNA". It matches the Rfam family "Bacterial small subunit ribosomal RNA", at positions 553 to 1107 of the family's 1533-position model. The record is from RNAcentral. Lineage: Eukaryota; Metazoa; Chordata; Actinopteri; Blenniiformes; Clinidae.